Molecule: ribosomal RNA, 495 nt
Filed under: uncultured bacterium
Lineage: Bacteria
Description: partial 16S ribosomal RNA
Rfam family: Bacterial small subunit ribosomal RNA
Source: RNAcentral
GACGAACGCUGGCGGCGUGCCUAAUACAUGCAAGUUGAGCGCUGAAGGUUGGUACUUGUACCAACUGGAUGAGCAGCGAACGGGUGAGUAACGCGUGGGGAAUCUGCCUUUGAGCGGGGGACAACAUUUGGAAACGAAUGCUAAUACCGCAUAAAAACUUUAAACACAAGUUUUAAGUUUGAAAGAUGCAAUUGCAUCACUCAAAGAUGAUCCCGCGUUGUAUUAGCUAGUUGGUGAGGUAAAGGCUCACCAAGGCGAUGAUACAUAGCCGACCUGAGAGGGGGAUCGGCCACAUUGGGACUGAGACACGGCCCAAACUCCUACGGGAGGCAGCAGUAGGGAAUCUUCGGCAAUGGACGAAAGUCUGACCGAGCAACGCCGCGUGAGUGAAGAAGGUUUUCGGAUCGUAAAACUCUGUUGGUAGAGAAGAACGUUGGUGAGAGUGGAAAGCUCAUCAAGUGACGGUAACUACCCAGAAAGGGACGGCUAACUACG